Molecule: small RNA, 476 nt
Filed under: Drosophila erecta
Lineage: Eukaryota; Metazoa; Arthropoda; Insecta; Diptera; Drosophilidae
Description: GG26947
Source: RNAcentral
UUGCUGGCCAGCCACUGACCACCGUUUGAUGUGGCGUGUAGCGUUGAAUGCAUAUAGCUAAGGAUAUAUGUUUUACCCAUUUGAUAGGUGCAGCAUGUAAACAAUAGAACCGUCGGUAGUCCGAUGGGCACAAGCACUCUCCGCAAUUCCAGCCGGGAAUAACGAGCUGUGGCCUCCUUUAGGAGCAGGAGGGAGUGCUCUUUGUGGCUUCUUGUGGGGGAUAAAAUUAGCUAGUCAUCUUCUAACAAAAAUAAGUACAAUAUCUUUAGCUUUCGUAUUUCAUAUUGUAUCUUGAUGAGCUACAUAUAUAGAACUAUCAGUCUCACGUCCCAUACCAAGGUAAUAAUAAAAAUCUAUGACAUAUUAUUUAAGUACAUACGUAGAUCUGUACAUGUGCAUAAUGGUUAAUCUUCAAUCGGCCUGUGCUCCUACGACUGUGUGUAUGUAUGUAUGUAUGUAUGUAGUGUGUGUGUGUG